CCUACGGGAGGCAGCAGUCGAGAAUCAUUCACAAUGGGGGAAACCCUGAUGGUGCAACGCCGCGUGAGUGAAGAAGUAUUUCGGUAUGUAAAGCUCUAUCAGCAGGGAAGAAGAAAGACGGUACCUGACUAAGAAGCCCCGGCUAACUACGUGCCAGCAGCCGCGGUAAUACGUAGGGGGCAAGCGUUAUCCGGAUUUACUGGGUGUAAAGGGAGCGUAGACGGCAUAGCAAGUCUGAAGUGAAAGCCCGUGGCUCAACCGCGGAACUGCUUUGGAAACUGUUAAGCUGGAGUACUGGAGAGGCA
RNAcentral lists this ribosomal RNA (305 nucleotides) under uncultured bacterium. RNAcentral describes it as "bacterial SSU rRNA". It matches the Rfam family "Bacterial small subunit ribosomal RNA", at positions 338 to 659 of the family's 1533-position model. The record is from RNAcentral.